This is a long non-coding RNA of Amphimedon queenslandica, 1034 nucleotides long. RefSeq lists it as uncharacterized. Lineage: Eukaryota; Metazoa; Porifera; Demospongiae; Haplosclerida; Niphatidae. The transcript has 4 exons. The record is from RefSeq and is a predicted model, not a curated record.
AUCUCUUUUCUUUUAAUAUCUCAGUCCUUGUAAUGGCUGCCAAUAGCUCCUUAAAUCAUUCAUUCUCUCUAUUUAGAGAUUUUCUUUCUGAUAGCCCGUUUUCUAGAGGAGAGCUCUUGUAGGAGAGCGGCUAAGGUACUGAUAGAAGAGUUGGAAGAAAAGGAGUUGUUGUUUAAAUGUAAGAAAUGGAGCGGAGAAGAGACUAAGUUAACUUUUGAGGAAAUCAAACGCGCUGCGCGCAUUAUCGGCGCAUAUUUAAUUAGUGGGUGUGGUCAAUAAUUUAAUUAUUAAUGAACCUCUCUCUCUAGUCUAAGAGAAAUGUCCACAUAUCCUCAGAUUAUUUAUUAUUAUUGUGUAAUGAGUUGUGCUCUCAGUUGGAGUCAUCAGGUUCCAUUAGAAGAGGAGGAGGGGGAGGUCACUCACUAAUUGGGAAUGAGAUAUCAUCAUUUAUUUAUAAUAAUAAUUAUUAUAAUAAUGUUUCUAGUUUGUUAAAGUUAACUAAUCAAAAACAUGAUUUCACAACUGAUCACUUACAAACAGUCGUGACGCCAACGGUACCGGAAGUCAUAAGAGCCUGUAUAAUUUUAUUGUAAUACACUUGACAGUAUGAAUAAUUAAUGAGUUGCUACUUUAUUUUAUAUUUAUUUUUCAUUUAAUAGUUUUACUAUGAAAUUUGCAUACAAUACACAGAACAUACAUAUUUAUCACUAUAAAAAACAUCAACCAGUUUAAAUAAACUAUAACAGAACUGCAAGCAACUGAUGUCCUUGACUUUACCGGAUGCGUACAGUGUUCUAGACAACUCCAGCUUCUUGUCCAUUCGCUUACAACAAGAUAGUAGCUAGAAGAAUAUACUCCAGAAGUUUAAAGUUGUUCCAGCAAGAAAUAAGGAUGCUGUGGUCUCUGAAAGUCAAUGGCACAUAAUAUGACUAUAAUGACAAGUAUAAAAUCUAGCUCUAAAAGGAUUUCAAACAAUUCUAUUGAGGUAAAAUGACUUGAUUAAUGAUCCUGAGUGUGGAAUCUGUAGAAAAAAG